Molecule: ribosomal RNA, 468 nt
Filed under: uncultured bacterium
Lineage: Bacteria
Description: partial 16S ribosomal RNA
Rfam family: Bacterial small subunit ribosomal RNA
Source: RNAcentral
GACGAACGCUGGCGGCGUGCUUAACACAUGCAAGUCGAACGGAAAGGCCCUGCUUUUGUGGGGUGCUCGAGUGGCGAACGGGUGAGUAACACGUGAGUAACCUGCCCUUGACUUUGGGAUAACUUCAGGAAACUGGGGCUAAUACCGGAUAGGAGCUCCUGCUGCAUGGUGGGGGUUGGAAAGUUUCGGCGGUUGGGGAUGGACUCGCGGCUUAUCAGCUUGUUGGUGGGGUAGUGGCUUACCAAGGCUGUGACGGGUAGCCGGCCUGAGAGGGUGACCGGCCACAUUGGGCCUGAGAUACGGCCCAGACUCCUACGGGAGGCAGCAGUGGGGAAUAUUGCACAAUGGGCGGAAGCCUGAUGCAGCAACGCCGCGUGCGGGAUGACGGCCUUCGGGUUGUAAACCGCUUUCGCCUGUGACGAAGCGCGAGUGACGGUAAUGGGUAAAGAAGCACCGGCUAACUACGUG